RNAcentral lists this non-coding RNA (30 nucleotides) under Rattus norvegicus (Norway rat). Lineage: Eukaryota; Metazoa; Chordata; Mammalia; Rodentia; Muridae. The record is from RNAcentral.
UCAAAGUGUAUGAUACGAUCAGAACACUUU